RNAcentral lists this ribosomal RNA (390 nucleotides) under uncultured bacterium. Its description in RNAcentral is "bacterial SSU rRNA". It matches the Rfam family "Bacterial small subunit ribosomal RNA", at positions 774 to 1163 of the family's 1533-position model. The record is from RNAcentral.
AGUCAAUAGAUACCCUGGUAGUCCACGCCGUAAACGAUGAGUACUAGGUGUAGGAGGUAUCGACUCCUUCUGUGCCGCAGUUAACACAAUAAGUACUCCGCCUGGGAAGUACGGUCGCAAGAUUAAAACUCAAAGGAAUUGACGGGGGCCCGCACAAGCAGCGGAGCAUGUGGUUUAAUUCGAAGCAACGCGAAGAACCUUACCUAGACUUGACAUCUCCUGAAUAGUGUAGAGAUACAUGAAGCCCUUCGGGGCAGGAAGACAGGUGGUGCAUGGUUGUCGUCAGCUCGUGUCGUGAGAUGUUGGGUUAAGUCCCGCAACGAGCGCAACCCUUAUUACUAGUUGCUACCAUUAAGUUGAGCACUCUAGUGAGACUGCCCGGGGUUAACC